This is a long non-coding RNA of Juglans microcarpa x Juglans regia, 155 nucleotides long. RefSeq lists it as uncharacterized. Lineage: Eukaryota; Viridiplantae; Streptophyta; Magnoliopsida; Fagales; Juglandaceae. The transcript is spliced from 2 exons. The record is from RefSeq and is a predicted model, not a curated record.
CCUUUCGCUGCACCCAAAGCAAUAGAUAGCCUUCGCCACAUGUCUAGCUUUCCAAUAGGUAAGCCUUCGCUGUCUUUAAACACGUGCACUUCAGAGAGAGAGAGAGAGAGAGAGAGAGAGAGAGAGAGAGAGAGAGAGAGAGAGAGAGAGAGAGG